Molecule: ribosomal RNA, 492 nt
Filed under: Fusobacterium necrophorum subsp. funduliforme B35
Lineage: Bacteria; Fusobacteriati; Fusobacteriota; Fusobacteriia; Fusobacteriales; Fusobacteriaceae
Description: bacterial SSU rRNA
Rfam family: Bacterial small subunit ribosomal RNA
Source: RNAcentral
UUGCGUCCCAUUAGCUAGUUGGUGAGGUAACGGCCCACCAAGGCAAUGAUGGGUAGCCGGCCUGAGAGGGUGAACGGCCACAAGGGGACUGAGACACGGCCCUUACUCCUACGGGAGGCAGCAGUGGGGAAUAUUGGACAAUGGACCACAAGUCUGAUCCAGCAAUUCUGUGUGCACGAUGACGUUUUUCGGAAUGUAAAGUGCUUUCAGUCGGGAAGAAGUCAGUGACGGUACCGACAGAAGAAGCGACGGCUAAAUACGUGCCAGCAGCCGCGGUAAUACGUAUGUCGCAAGCGUUAUCCGGAUUUAUUGGGCGUAAAGCGCGUCUAGGCGGCAAGGAAAGUCUGAUGUGAAAAUGCGGAGCUCAACUCCGUAUGGCGUUGGAAACUGCCUUACUAGAGUACUGGAGAGGUAGGCGGAACUACAAGUGUAGAGGUGAAAUUCGUAGAUAUUUGUAGGAAUGCCGAUGGGGAAGCCAGCCUACUGGACAGA